GUGGGGAAUUUUGGACAAUGGGGGCAACCCUGAUCCAGCCAUCCCGCGUGUGCGAUGAAGGCCUUCGGGUUGUAAAGCACUUUUGGCAGGGAAGAAAAGUUUCGGGCUAAUACCCUGGAGCGAUGACGGUACCUGCAGAAUAAGCACCGGCUAACUACGUGCCAGCAGCCGCGGUAAUACGUAGGGUGCAAGCGUUAAUCGGAAUUACUGGGCGUAAAGCGUGCGCAGGCGGUUCGGAAAGAAAGAUGUGAAAUCCCAGGGCUUAACCUUGGAACUGCAUUUUUAACUGUCGAACUCGAGUAUGUCAGAGGGGGGUAGAAUUCCACGUGUAGCAGUGAAAUGCGUAGAGAUGUGGAGGAAUACCGAUGGCGAAGGCAGCCCCCUGGGAUAAUACUGACGCUCAUGCACGAAAGCGUGGGGAGCAAACAGGAUUAGAAACCCCUGUAGUCC
This 450-nucleotide ribosomal RNA is filed under the name uncultured bacterium. RNAcentral describes it as "bacterial SSU rRNA". It matches the Rfam family "Bacterial small subunit ribosomal RNA", at positions 354 to 796 of the family's 1533-position model. The record is from RNAcentral.